UGGGGAAUAUUGCGCAAUGGGCGAAAGCCUGACGCAGCGACGCCGCGUGGAGGAUGAAGGUCUUCGGAUUGUAAACUUCUGUUAAGUGGGAAGAAAAAUUUGCGUUUAAUACACGCAAGGAAUGACGGUACCAUUAGAGAAAGCACCGGCUAACUUCGUGCCAGCAGCCGCGGUAAUACGAAGGGUGCAAGCGUUAUUCGGAUUUAUUGGGCGUAAAGGGUGCGUAGACGGUAUAUUAAGUCUAUUGUUAAAUCUUCUGGCCUAACCAGAAAUCUGCAGUAGAUACUGAUGUGCUAGAGGGUGGAAGAGAGAAGUGGAAUUCUCGGAGUAGCGGUAAAAUGCGUAGAUCUCGAUAGGAACACCAAUGGCGAAGGCAGCUUCUUGGUCCACACCUGACGUUGAGGCACGAAAGCGUGGUGAGCAAACA
This 427-nucleotide ribosomal RNA is filed under the name uncultured prokaryote. Its description in RNAcentral is "bacterial SSU rRNA". It matches the Rfam family "Bacterial small subunit ribosomal RNA", at positions 355 to 774 of the family's 1533-position model. The record is from RNAcentral.